GACGAACGCUGGCGGCGUGCCUAAUACAUGCAAGUAGAACGCUGAAGAGAGGAGCUUGCUCUUCUUGGAUGAGUUGCGAACGGGUGAGUAACGCGUAGGUAACCUGCCUUGUAGCGGGGGAUAACUAUUGGAAACGAUAGCUAAUACCGCAUAACAAUGGAUGACACAUGUCAUUUAUUUGAAAGGGGCAAUUGCUCCACUACAAGAUGGACCUGCGUUGUAUUAGCUAGUAGGUGAGGUAACGGCUCACCUAGGCGACGAUACAUAGCCGACCUGAGAGGGUGAUCGGCCACACUGGGACUGAGACACGGCCCAGACUCCUACGGGAGGCAGCAGUAGGGAAUCUUCGGCAAUGGGGGCAACCCUGACCGAGCAACGCCGCGUGAGUGAAGAAGGUUUUCGGAUCGUAAAGCUCUGUUGUAAGUCAAGAACGAGUGUGAGAGUGGAAAGUUCACACUGUGACGGUAGCUUACCAGAAAGGGACGGCUAACUACGUGCCAGCAGCCGCGGUAAUACGUAGGUCCCGAGCGUUGUCCGGAUUUAUUGGGCGUAAAGCGAGCGCAGGCGGUUUGAUAAGUCUGAAGUUAAAGGCUGUGGCUCAACCAUAGUUCGCUUUGGAAACUGUCAAACUUGAGUGCAGAAGGGGAGAGUGGAAUUCCAUGUGUAGCGGUGAAAUGCGUAGAUAUAUGGAGGAACACCGGUGGCGAAAGCGGCUCUCUGGUCUGUAACUGACGCUGAGGCUCGAAAGCGUGGGGAGCGAACAGGAUUAGAUACCCUGGUAGUCCACGCCGUAAACGAUGAGUGCUAGGUGUUGGAUCCUUUCCGGGAUUCAGUGCCGCAGCUAACGCAUUAAGCACUCCGCCUGGGGAGUACGACCGCAAGGUUGAAACUCAAAGGAAUUGACGGGGGCCCGCACAAGCGGUGGAGCAUGUGGUUUAAUUCGAAGCAACGCGAAGAACCUUACCAGAUCUUGACAUCCCGAUGCUAUUUCUAGAGAUAGAAAGUUACUUCGGUACAUCGGUGACAGGUGGUGCAUGGUUGUCGUCAGCUCGUGUCGUGAGAUGUUGGGUUAAGUCCCGCAACGAGCGCAACCCCUAUUGUUAGUUGCCAUCAUUCAGUUGGGCACUCUAGCGAGACUGCCGGUAAUAAACCGGAGGAAGGUGGGGAUGACGUCAAAUCAUCAUGCCCCUUAUGACCUGGGCUACACACGUGCUACAAUGGUUGGUACAACGAGUUGCGAGUCGGUGACGGCAAGCUAAUCUCUUAAAGCCAAUCUCAGUUCGGAUUGUAGGCUGCAACUCGCCUACAUGAAGUCGGAAUCGCUAGUAAUCGCGGAUCAGCACGCCGCGGUGAAUACGUUCCCGGGCCU
RNAcentral lists this ribosomal RNA (1369 nucleotides) under uncultured bacterium. RNAcentral's name for it is "bacterial SSU rRNA". It matches the Rfam family "Bacterial small subunit ribosomal RNA", at positions 28 to 1381 of the family's 1533-position model. The record is from RNAcentral.